UAUUGACCUCGGAUCAGGUAGGGAUACCCGCUGAACUUAAGCAUAU
This 46-nucleotide ribosomal RNA is filed under the name Parathyridaria ramulicola. RNAcentral's name for it is "partial 28S ribosomal RNA". The record is from RNAcentral. Lineage: Eukaryota; Fungi; Ascomycota; Dothideomycetes; Pleosporales; Thyridariaceae.